UAAACGACUCUCGGCAACGGAUAUCUCGGCUCAUGCAUCGAUGAAGAACGUAGCAAAAUGCGAUACUUGGUGUGAAUUGCAGAAUCCCGUGAACCAUCGAGUUUUUGAACGCAAGUUGCGCCCGAAGCCUUCUGGUUGAGGGCACGUCUGCCUGGGUGUCACGC
RNAcentral lists this ribosomal RNA (164 nucleotides) under Dubautia knudsenii subsp. knudsenii. Its description in RNAcentral is "5.8S ribosomal RNA". It matches the Rfam family "5.8S ribosomal RNA". From Rfam's summary of the family: 5.8S ribosomal RNA (5.8S rRNA) is a component of the large subunit of the eukaryotic ribosome. It is transcribed by RNA polymerase I as part of the 45S precursor that also contains 18S and 28S rRNA. The record is from RNAcentral. Lineage: Eukaryota; Viridiplantae; Streptophyta; Magnoliopsida; Asterales; Asteraceae.